Molecule: unclassified non-coding RNA, 1210 nt
Filed under: Hevea brasiliensis (rubber tree)
Lineage: Eukaryota; Viridiplantae; Streptophyta; Magnoliopsida; Malpighiales; Euphorbiaceae
Source: RNAcentral
CUCUAAUUGCUGCCAUUACAUCCUACAAUCCAUCAUUAUAUACUACAAUCCCGUCAACAUAAUAUUAUUGAGGAAAAAAAUAAUAAUCUCAUUUAUAAACAACUAAAAAUUCCCAAUUAUCUCUAUGAUCUCAAUGGUUUGGACAAGUUCCAUACAAACACAAAUACAUAUAAACAAGACAACACAAAACGGGGCAUGAACCUUGUCAAAAAUGGACUCUCAGUAACUAAAAUUGGAGAACUAAUAAUGCAGUCUUAACUCAAAAAACAUUUGAAUAGUCCAUAUUUCUAGGAUAAGUCGUUACCAUUAUCAACAUCACCUGCAGAGAAGUAAAUAGCCAAUCAAUCAAUCUCCACAAUUCCCAAUAUUUAUUAAUUGCACACAAUAACAAAGCAAACCUUAAACAUAAUGGAGUCUGAUAAGAACAAAUACCAAAGUUAAUUUGAAUUCACACCAGCAUCUACAGGAGGUUCCUCCAUCAUUGUUAUUGGUUCUUUGUCGAUAGGCAACAACAUCCUCUCUGUCCAGCAUGUUACAAUUCAUUAUCUCUGGUUGCAUACACGGUUGCUGAAGUUGUAUCGAUGGAAAUAGCCUCUAAUAAGUGGACAAUGGCUUCCCACACAUUCAUUCUAAUUCCUUCAGAGUUGGCCUCCAUGGCUUUGGGUCACCCAUCUGCAAACAGACAUUCCCAUAUGCCAUAGAAGGGGGGAAAACAUAUGCAAAUAAUUAUCAGGUUCCAUGAAUAAAAUAAAGUCAAACGCACAAAGGAUGAAAUUCGCCAACAAUACCAUCUGAGGAGGAUCAUUAUGAGGCUCAACAGUCUAGCCCUCAAUCUCAAUGCUCGAUUCGAUUAGCUCUUCCUGCACCUUUUCUUCCUCUUUGGGCUCUCUUUGUGGUCCAUCCUUAUCCUCAAUGUCCUCAUCCGCGCAAUAGCUUUUCUUUAACCCCAAGUACAUCAAACGUUAACACGUAAGAAAAUAAGUACACAAUUGCACAUAACUGAAAAAGAAAAACAGUGGAAAGGAAGCAAAGAAACAGCACCGAUUUGGAGCCUGCGUGAUUGUAAGAAAAGGGAGAGAGCUUAGCACCAAGACUGAAGGGAUAUAUCCGAGAAAACCAAGACUGGAAAAUUGCUCUGUGGGCUCAUCACUGUUCACGCGCAUACCAGAUUAUUGUUUUUAGAUCUCCUUCCCUAUCGACUUUUGGCGGA